Molecule: ribosomal RNA, 325 nt
Filed under: uncultured bacterium
Lineage: Bacteria
Description: bacterial SSU rRNA
Rfam family: Bacterial small subunit ribosomal RNA
Source: RNAcentral
UGACGUCAAGUCCUCAUGGCCUUACGGGCUGGGCUACACACGUGCUACAAUGGCGGUGACAAUGGGACGCAAAGGAGCAAUCCCUAGCAAAUCUCAAAAAGCCGUCUCAGUUCGGAUUGUUCUCUGCAACUCGAGAGCAUGAAGUUGGAAUCGCUAGUAAUCGUGGAUCAGCAUGCCACGGUGAAUACGUUCCCGGGCCUUGUACACACCGCCCGUCACACCAUGGGAGUUGGUUCUACCUGAAGGCGGUGCGCUAACCCGCAAUGGAGGCAGCCGACCACGGUAGGGUCAGCGACUGGGGUGAAGUCGUAACAAGUAGCCGUAA